RNAcentral lists this ribosomal RNA (253 nucleotides) under uncultured bacterium. Its description in RNAcentral is "partial 16S ribosomal RNA". It matches the Rfam family "Bacterial small subunit ribosomal RNA", at positions 524 to 776 of the family's 1533-position model. The record is from RNAcentral.
UACGUAGGGGGCAAGCGUUGUCCGGAUUUAUUGGGCGUAAAGAGCGUGUAGGCGGUUAGGUAGGUCCGUUGUGAAAACUCGAGGCUCAACCUCGAGACGCCGAUGGAAACCAUCUAACUAGAGUCCGGAAGAGGAGAGUGGAAUUCCUGGUGUAGCGGUGAAAUGCGCAGAUAUCAGGAAGAACACCCGUGGCUAAGGCGGCUCUCUAGUACGGUACUGACGCUGAGACGCGAAAGCGUGGGGAGCGAGCAGG